This 700-nucleotide ribosomal RNA is filed under the name Streptomyces sp. RNAcentral's name for it is "bacterial SSU rRNA". It matches the Rfam family "Bacterial small subunit ribosomal RNA", at positions 719 to 1416 of the family's 1533-position model. Lineage: Bacteria; Bacillati; Actinomycetota; Actinomycetes; Kitasatosporales; Streptomycetaceae. The record is from RNAcentral.
AGGCUGGUCUCCGGACCUUACCUGGUGAGAGGAGAGAAAGCAUGGGGACCGAUCAGGAUUAGAUCCCUUGGUAGUCCAUGCCGUUAAGGUUGGCCGCUAGGUGUGGGGACUUUGCACGGUUUCCGCAGCGUAGCCAACGCAUUAAGCGCCCCGCUUGGGGAGUACGGCCGCAAGGCUAAAACUCAAAGGAAUUGGCGGGGGCCCGCACAAGCGGGGGAGCAUGUUGCUUAAUUCGACGCACCGGGAAGAACCUUACCAAGGUUUGACAUCACCCGUGGACUCGCAGAGAUGUGAGGUCAUUUAGUUGGCGGGUGACAGGUGGUGCAUGGCUGUCGUCAGUUCGUGUCGUGAGAUGUUGGGUUAAGUCCCGCAACGAGCGCAACCCUUGUUCCAUGUUCCCAGCACGUAAUGGGGGGGAUUCAUGGGAGACUGCCGGGGUCAACUCGGAGGAAGGUGGGGAUGACGUCAAGUCAUCAUGCCCCUUAUGUUUUGGGCUGCAAACAUGCUACAAUGGCCGGUACAAUGGGCGUGCGAUACCGUAAGGUGGAGCGAAUCCCUAAAAGCCGGUUUCAGUUCGGAUUGGGGUCUGCAACUCGACCCCAUGAAGGGGGAGUCGCUAGUAAUCGCGGAUCAGCAACGCCGCGGUGAAUACGUUCCCGGGCCUUGUACACACCCCGCCGUCACAACAAAAAAGUCAGCA